AAAUGUCUUUAUUCAAUAGUCUGUCUUACAAUGAAAACCCUCUCGCUAUUUAUAGCUGACAUUGCCUAUAAACAAGGAAAUAAAAUAAAAAAGCUAGAAAUUCUUUAAGAAUAAACUCUAAUUGCUUUUUGUAAAGUAAGUGUCCAAAGUUGGCAGCUAUUCAAAAAAACAUCUUUAUUGAUCUCUAUCAACACUCCAAUCUAAUACUUAUAUCCAAAAUGUUAGUAAUCUCUAAUGGCUAGUUAAGGAACUAACUUAGUUCCACAUUCCACAAGUACUAUGUCCAAUAAUGUUUAACAACGAAAAUUUCGUUGCACAAUAUGGAAAAUCUGAUAUAAAUGCUUGUAAAUAAAAAAUGAUUCAAGUUACUGUGUGAAAAUAGAAGCUAUGCCAUCUUUGCCUGCUAGCAUAAUAAUCA
This 418-nucleotide long non-coding RNA is filed under the name Olea europaea (common olive). RNAcentral's name for it is "long non-coding RNA (OEUR_LNC001597)". The record is from RNAcentral. Lineage: Eukaryota; Viridiplantae; Streptophyta; Magnoliopsida; Lamiales; Oleaceae.